Bubalus bubalis (water buffalo) is the source of this 340-nucleotide long non-coding RNA. RefSeq lists it as uncharacterized. The transcript is spliced from 3 exons. The record is from RefSeq and is a predicted model, not a curated record. NCBI's taxonomy places the organism in Eukaryota, Metazoa, Chordata, Mammalia, Artiodactyla, Bovidae.
CUCAGGAAAUAUGCAUGAGAUACUAGAGGGCAGCUACAACUGAGGAUACCAGGGAGGAGUCUGCUCAAAGAAGGCCUGCUUCUCUCUUAUCAGGAGAUGUCAGCAUUUAGUGCAAGGACAAAUGCUUGCCUCUUGAAUAGCAACGAUUGCUUUAGCAGCUUCCAUUGCCAUAUGUGUACAAUAAGUAAAUGAACAUAAAAUUGAACGAACACAUAAAAGAAGGAUAAACCCACCCAGCUUAACAAAUCCACUCUCUCACCUGCUGUGCCCUGAAACAUGAAAAAAAGAAUCCCUGGAUCAUAAGGAUUAAUAAAAUAACAGUCUCUGUUAACAAUACUGA